Molecule: unclassified non-coding RNA, 883 nt
Filed under: Hevea brasiliensis (rubber tree)
Lineage: Eukaryota; Viridiplantae; Streptophyta; Magnoliopsida; Malpighiales; Euphorbiaceae
Source: RNAcentral
GCUUGUGCAAGAGGCACUCUUCCUAGAAAAUGGCAAAUAGAAGACCAAAAUAAGUUGAAACAACUUAUAACUUAAUUAACAUAACUGAACUUCAGAAACAGGCUAAGAUGUUGAAAUUUGUUACAAGCCCAUAAGAGUUCUAUGAAGAAGCAUAAAUUGAUAGCUAUAAUAUCUUUACAGAUAUUAUUAUGUUAUCCCAACAAUUAAGGGUUUACAAAAAAUUUUUGAAACAUCAGAUACUGUGACUGUUACUUGAAAGUUGCCCUCUCCAAAUCAUCUCCAUUGAAGACUAAAAUACGGCUGUUCAAAAAUUUGGUCAACCAACCAACCCAAGAGAAACUGACCAAACCAACCCAACUUUGUUAUGUAGAGUUGGGUUCACUAUGGUAUUGGUCGGUUUUGGUACUUGAUCUUGGUACCAGCUGUAAACCUAUGCCAAAUUUUUGAACCAAACAAUGAUCUCAAACAAGAAAUUAAAAAAAAAAAUAAUUCUACUACUAGACUUUUCCAGCUAGCUUAUAUUUUGUUCAGUUUUUGCCUAUAGCAAAUCAGAGACCUGAGAACAAAGACACAAAAAUUGAGUCAAGAUAAUUCAUCAAAUCCCCAGAAAUGGUUAUAUAGCCAAGAAAAAGAGGUAAAAUCCAACAAAACUAAUCACAGGAAAGUUGUGGACAAAAUGAAUGGACACUUUCUGUUGCUUGAUAUUUGAGUUUGUAACUUGUUUAGUUUACUAAGACUAAAUCCCACUAUAAAAUAAACAAUUCAUGACAUAUUAUAUUCAUAUUUAUAUUUCUAAAAGUUGCAAAAAGAUUUUUAUGAACUAUCCUUCUAAAAUAAUCUCAUAGACGCCCGUUAUUUACCUUGCACAUUCACUGUUGAUUCU